GUUCAGUUAAUAAGCAGAUGGUUUCUGAAACGAACAGUUUUUUGAGAAAAAAAAAAUAUUGCAUCAUUUGAGUUUUUAAAGCGUGAACUGAUAUAAAAGACUAUUGUUUGCCAUGUUCUUCGAUCCAUUGUUAAGCAGAUAACGUUGUUCUUUAACCAAGAUGGAAGAUUGAAACGAGCUUCCUGUUGCAUGCUAGUUUUGUGCUUCUCUAAUAAUUCAGAAAGUUGCUGUCAACAUAUCAUUUUUUCCAAACAAUUAAAACGUAAAUACAAAGGUUAAAUAUAAUUAUAUAUAUAACAUAAUAUAAGCAAGGAUGAAAGGUUAUUUAAGAUCAACGAGGUACGAAAAACUUUGUUGCAAGGGGGUGAAUGAACGUUAUCGUGCAACAAAAGUCGCUCUGGGUGAAAGUCGACACAACCGCAAUACGGUCUGGUAUAGAAUAUGGAUGAAGCUAUUUUUGCCUUUUAAAGUGUUGCCAGUUGUUUAUUUUGCUGAUUUAUGCCGAUACAUCAAUAAAUGUAAACACAGCCGGUCCAACUAUGAGCUAAUGUAAAUUUGAAUUAUAAUCACG
Molecule: long non-coding RNA, 571 nt
Filed under: Androctonus crassicauda
Lineage: Eukaryota; Metazoa; Arthropoda; Arachnida; Scorpiones; Buthidae
Source: RNAcentral